Long non-coding RNA from Pseudophryne corroboree (corroboree frog), 3364 nucleotides. RefSeq lists it as uncharacterized. NCBI's taxonomy places the organism in Eukaryota, Metazoa, Chordata, Amphibia, Anura, Myobatrachidae. The record is from RefSeq and is a predicted model, not a curated record. The transcript is spliced from 9 exons.
CAACAGCUGGUGACCGGAAGUGACGUUCGACCCAGGAAGCGGUGUUAGGGGACCCGCUGCCGGCCUCCUCCACACCGAGGCGGCCAGUAUUCUACGUCUUAAUGUACAACUCCUGGAAGCAAAUCGUUUGGCUUCUUCUUGCAACAUUGACAAUGUACGAACCAAUGUCUUCAAACACUGGAUGUUCUAGGCGGCUCUGUGGGUGACAUUAAAAGCAAGCAUCAGGGUGCAGUGCUGCAGACUAUUAAGUCUUUGAAGCUUCCAGACAAGAUGUUUACUGACUUCAGUGCACAGGGCAGCUACUGUAUUGAAUGUUGACGUUUUUGGGUACCUGACAGAAAAUGGUUUGAUUCAUCCAUUGGCAAAUUUGCAAGAGGUAGCCAAUGUCUUCAAACACUGGAUUUUUUGAUGACACUUUGGUAGGCAUUAUAAGCAAGCAUCAGGAUACAGUGCUGCAGACUAUUGAGUCUCCGAAGCUGCCGGACAAGAUUAUUACUGUCUUCAAUGCACAGGGCAGCUACUCUGUUGAAUAUUGAGGUUAUUUAGUACCUGAAAGAAAAUGGUUUGCUUCAUCCAUUGGCAAAUUUGCAAGAAGAAGUCAAUGUCUUCAAACACUGGAUGUUCUAGGCGGCUCUGUGGGUGACAUUAAAAGCAAGCAUCAGGGUGCAGUGCUGCAGACUAUUAAGUCUUUGAAGCUUCCAGAUAAGAUGUUUACUGACUUCAGUGCACAGGGCAGCUACUGUAUUGAAUGUUGACGUUUUUGGGUACCUGACAGAAAAUGGUUUGAUUCAUCCAUUGGCAAAUUUGCAAGAGGUAGCCAAUGUCUUCAAACACUGGAUUUUUUGAUGACACUUUGGUAGGCAUUAUAAGCAAGCAUCAGGAUACAGUGCUGCAGACUAUUGAGUCUCCGAAGCUGCCGGACAAGAUUAUUACUGUCUUCAAUGCACAGGGCAGCUACUCUGUUGAAUAUUGAGGUUAUUUAGUACCUGAAAGAAAAUGGUUUGCUUCAUCCAUUGGCAAAUUUGCAAGAAGAAGUCAAUGUCUUCAAACACUGGAUGUUCUAGGCGGCUCUGUGGGUGACAUUAAAAGCAAGCAUCAGGGUGCAGUGCUGCAGACUAUUAAGUCUUUGAAGCUUCCAGACAAGAUGUUUACUGACUUCAGUGCACAGGGCAGCUACUGUAUUGAAUGUUGACGUUUUUGGGUACCUGACGGAAAAUGGUUUGAUUCAUCCAUUGGCAAAUUUGCAAGAGGUAGCCAAUGUCUUCAAACACUGGAUUUUUUGAUGACACUUUGGUAGGCAUUAUAAGCAAGCAUCAGGAUACAGUGCUGCAGACUAUUGAGUCUCCGAAGCUGCCGGACAAGAUUAUUACUGUCUUCAAUGCACAGGGCAGCUACUCUGUUGAAUAUUGAGGUUAUUUAGUACCUGAAAGAAAAUGGUUUGCUUCAUCCAUUGGCAAAUUUGCAAGAAGAAGCCAAUGUCUUCAAACACUGGAUGUUCUAGGAGGCUCUGUGGGUGACAUUAAAAGCAAGCAUCAGGGUGCAGUGCUGCAGACUAUUAAGUCUUUGAAGCUUCCAGACAAGAUGUUUACUGACUUCAGUGCACAGGUCCUUCCCGUGUUUGCUUUCCACUGCCACACCUUACACCACCACCGCCUGAGGUCCCGCACAGACACAGUGGUCUAGGGGUCUUUUUACUAAACCUUGGAUGGAGAUUAAGUGGACGGAGAUAAAGUACCUUCCAAUCAGCUCCUAACUGCGAUGUCACAGGCUUUGGUUGAAAAAUGACAGGAGCUGAUUGGAUGGUUCUUUAUCUUCAUACUUUAUCUCCUUCCAAGGCUUAGUAAAUAGACACAUUAUUCCUCAAGAGGAGAUCACAGCCAUCCUCACAUCCAUGGAGCCACCAGCCCACCGACACAGCAGUAGCAACCGUCAGCGGUCACCCCACAGAGCACCACCCCAAAUAUGGAAGAGCUUGCAUCCUCACUCCGCACCUUCAGGGAACACCAGAUUGCAUUGCUGGACUGCCAAACGUGACAAAUGUACGCCAUCAGCCACCAGUUGCGGAAUCUAAACACACCACCACGGUGGCUCAGGGGACCCGCAUCUGGAUGAUCAGUGAAUUUAAUCUGUAUGCUCUAGUUUACACAGGCUGCAAAAGGGAGCUGAAAAGCCAAGGAGCCGUUAAGGAUGCUCCCUCCACAUCAGCGGCCUGCUACCAGCACCCAAACAGUAUCAAGGGCGACUCCCCCAAGGCAUAAUGCCUGUACAUGGGGAGGUGCACCUGUAGGGGCAGAGGCACUUCAGGGAUUUAUUUUCGCCUUCAUCCACUAAGGGACACUGGAGCAUAUAGACAAUGGGGUGUAGACAAGUAGGUAAUUGGAGCCUGGCACUUUAAAUUUUUUUCAGGAAGUGUAGCUGGGGUCUCCCCCUCCAAACCCAGUUUAAAUUAGUGCUACAUUUUACUUUAUUUUUUUUUUUAUUUUUUUUUUUUAUCUUCACAGAAUACUUCAACAGGCAGGUUGUAUGCUGCUGCAGUUUUGUCUGCAACAGGUAAAGCCUUCAGAGGGACCUUUACUGCUUAUUAGAAAUCUUGUAUCUGGGUCUCUGGCUAUAGGAUCAACUGACUCUGGGGACACAACACUGCUUACUGAAAAGCUAUCUGGUCUUGCGGCCUCCCUCACAGCGGAUGGCGUAGGCAGCUGUGAGUAUCCCACCAUUGUGGGCCCCUUCAGCUGUGGGUGCCUCCAAGCACGGUUAGGUAAUUGCACUGGCUAUUCCACAUGCCCUAUCCUUGUACCAGCACUAGUGAAGUUGUAGGGCAGCAUUUGCUGCCGGCUACUCUCUGCUUCUGUCACUACCAGGCAUGGCAGAGCCACCCUGACAGCUCUGCUUAGAUCUAAUUGUCCAGCCCUCUUCAUCAGCUCCAGAUAAUAGCCUGCACCAAAUUACCGACAUUAUUUGAAAUUCAGGGACUGCUGAGAGGCAGGGCUCAGGGUCGUCACUCAUUGAAUGGAUUGCCCUCUCUCAGGGGCUGUGCUGGGACUUUAGUAUUGCAGAUCCCAGGAUUAUCAGCUUCCUGUUUUCCCCCAGGGGCUAGACCCCUCACAAUUCUGUAUUGCCAUCUACAGCCACAUUAGUGGCCAGCUGCAGAUGCUAUUCUGGCGGUUGCUGGCUUAGGCCCUGUUCUAAAUUGAUAAGGAGCUAAUUAUUAAGUGUAUAUUAAUAUAUUAUGUGUAUUUCUCUGACGUCCUAGUGGAUGCUGGGACUCCGUCAGGACCAUGGGGAAUAGCGGCUCCGCAGGAGACAGGGCACAAAAUUUAAAAGUUUGACCACUAGGUGGUGUGUACUGGCUCCUCCCCCCAUG